This 253-nucleotide ribosomal RNA is filed under the name uncultured bacterium. Its description in RNAcentral is "partial 16S ribosomal RNA". It matches the Rfam family "Bacterial small subunit ribosomal RNA", at positions 524 to 776 of the family's 1533-position model. The record is from RNAcentral.
GACGUAGGGCGCGAGCGUUGUCCGGAUUUAUUGGGCGUAAAGAGCUCGUAGGUGGUUUGUCGCGUUGUUCGUGAAAACUCACAGCUUAACUGUGGGCGUGCGGGCGAUACGGGCAGACUGGAGUACUGCAGGGGAGACUGGAAUUCCUGGUGUAGCGGUGGAAUGCGCAGAUAUCAGGAGGAACACCGGUGGCGAAGGCGGGUCUCUGGGCCGUAACUGACGCUGAGGAGCGAAAGCAUGGGGAGCGAACAGG